GGUUCUUGAAAGAGUAUUGCAGGAGUGUUAGUGCAAGCUAAUUAGAAUGUGUACAUACAGCAUACGUGGUAGAAAUUUAUAUAUGUAUGAAAUAAAAAGUGCGUUUCGACAUAAAACAUGAAAUAACACUGUACACAUAGGUGAUGACAUAUAUGACAAAUUAACAAAAGAAGCAUCCGGACGAAGCACAUUUACAUUGGGUAGAGCCCAUAUAACGGACAACGUAAGAAUGGACGCACACAUAAAGAAUGUCUUACAGACAGGUGGGAAGACUUACUAGACAUAUAGGACAACACAAAUCAUAUAUAGGUCAAGAGCAAGAUGAAGAGACAAGUAUGAUGAUGAAGGCUGAUGUCCAGCUAACUGGAUACCUUGCACUGGGGUUUCUUCUGGCUGUGGUUCCAUUCCGGGUUCUUCAGGUUGGAUAAACCUUUCAAUUUCACGUUCUUUAAAGAAUGUCAACAGAAGAUGUAAGAUGGUAACGUAAAGGUGUUCACACAGACACACACGGAUGCUAAGAGUCACAAAACAAAAACAUACGACACAUGCAAGGUGGUCGCUGCAGAAGAGGGGAGAUCUCCAUUUUCUUUUUCUAUUUCUGGUGUUGGGCAUUGAGCCAGAGUCUGUCUGCCUCCCCAUCUCCCUCUCUGGUUUUAUUAAAGACCAGGUCUUCUUAGGUAGACCAUGCUGAUCUCCAACUAACAGAGACUCACCUGCCCCUCCCUCUGGAAGCUGGGACUAAAGGCAGGUGCUACGCGCCUAGGGUUUCAUUUAUGGUGGGGAGUCGCUCUAACCACUGAGCUACCUCCCAGCCUCCAGAUGCUAACUUUCUUACACUUGAGCUUUCUGUUAAUGAACGGUUAUUACUAGGUUGGUGGUAGACGAGCUGACUUGAAACCCCCACUGGCAAUCGUUUGGGGAUCCAAUGUCACCAUCAAACUCUGCAUCCGUAAGCUGAACCUUUCAGAAUUGUUCAUUUUCGUUGAGACUAAGCAAAUGAAAGAUUCUAAUUCGAAAGAAGCAUAAUUGUUUGCAAAAAAAAAAAAAAAGGUAGUCGGGCGUGUUCAGGGAUGCUCCUGUGUAUGAUUUAAGCAGGAAUGUCACCCUACAUCACUAAGAAAAGUCCCCAGGAUGUGAAAGACAGACACUUAUGUAUGUGUAUACCUUCAACAGGGGGCGUCUCUUUUCUACCAAUGGUAAUGGUGGCUUUCUCUUCAUAGAUUGUCUCCUCAGGAAUCUCUUCCACUUAAAAACAGUUAUAGCGUUUUAGGCUGUAUUCAGACUGGAACCCCACGGCUGCUAUGUUAUACCUUACAACAUGUUAUCCAGCUAUCUUAAAACACCAAUAGAGCCAACACACGCGACAGAAGACACAUAAAUAUAUAAGAUCCACCGUAAGUGGCAAUGACUAAGGCCAGGUGAUGAAGUUGUCAUCUUCCCAAGAGGUAAAGAGCGCCAUGUACCUGGGGCGGGAGGUGCCUCUGGCUCUUCAGGCACAGGAGCAGACUCUCUCUUUUCUGGGGUAAUUUUCUUGGGUGCUUCCGGCACUUUAAAGACAUUAAUGUUGUUUAUCAUUAAGAACUUAGAAGAUGAACAAGAUUCUUCAAAAGGCUGGCAAAGAGCACAGUGCAGAGAACUCGGACCUCGGUCUUAGAAGAUGUCAUGGGGGGAAUGGUUUCUGAGUCAGUCAUGGUUAUGUGUGUGCAUUCUCAGCCUUCCUUGUCUAUCUGCAUCGUGAUAUUGUUUUACAAGUAGAUCGUCCUUACUAGACUGAUGCUGACACAUGAGAAAACGCCUGCUUUACCUUGUCUGGGUAAAUGUAUAUCCUACCAAUGUGACUCUUUUUAAAUGCAAAUAACCUUAAGAUUGAUGUCUGUAACCUUGACCCUAAGCUCCUCAUGCAUAUUCCUAACUCCAUGCCUGAAAAGAAUCUGUCCACCAUUUCUUUCUUUCUAACAACAGUCCAGAAUCCAGAGAAUUAUUCUCUUGGUCACUUAACCUCAGUUCCUACAAUGAUCUUGUUUUCUCAGCACUGUGGGUGGUUAGUUUCUAUAGUCCAAGCCUACUCAUUUAUAGUCUGCAAAACUUUCGAAGCCUCCUGCUGCAGAUGUGUACAAAAACGAGAAAAUCUUAUUCCUACAAAAAAAGCCUUUCUAUCUGGAGUUAUCUUUUAAGAUGGUCUACAAACCCAUACCCAAAUUAUACUUUAUCUGAGAGUCCCUGAAGUUUUACACCCUUCUGCCUUUGGAUCUUUCAAUAUAGCUGCCACCUUUUUCUAAUUUCUGUAUGUAAAAAAAACAAAUCUGUCAAAAUAUCUAUCAAAAUAAAAACCAUUUCUUCCUCAUAGCUUUCUGUGGUCUCUCUACCUGAAUCUUUGCUGGUCUGUCUUUCUGUCCCUCGCUUGGGAUGUUAUCACUUCCUGUCUAUAGAGUUGUCCGGUCGUCCUAUUCUCCCACCAUAUUUAAGUUGCUUGAAGAUGGGGGCAUGUUUUACACGUUCUAAAAUGUCAUCUUCUUGAUAGUAAUAUCAACCCAAUGUGGUGGACUGAGCUGUUGAUGCCUUUUCUAGCCCUGCAGCCAUGGACUGUAUCAACACAAGCUUCACUCUCUCCAUCCUGUUGGUCUCUCUUUGCUGUCAUCGUAUUUAUGAAAUGUGCUUUUUACAUGAGCGCUGUCUUUUUUUGUUCUAAGGAUUGUUAUGAAAUGCUUAUGGGUGAAGAUGUAUGUCUCUUCCUGACAGAUACCUUUUUCUGGCAGGACUUCUGGUUUUUUGGUAACAGGCACGGGUUCUUUCUUGACUGGAGCAAGUUUCUUCGGCACCUCGGGGACUUUGAAGAUAUUAGUUUUGUUUUAGAUAGACAGUUUGAGAACACCUUAUGAGUAAAACUAUCUGCAAUUAAUGGAGCAGUGUUAGACUUAAUGGGAAGAAACGAGGACAGUUUUGCCCCUGGUAAGUCAUAAGUUAAAGGACUCUUACUGGAUCCCACUUCUAGGCUAAGCUUUUAAGGACGAUGAGUUGGAUGAUGACGUGAAUACCUUCAGCUUCUGGUGGUUCUGGCUUCUUAACGACCGGAACUUUCUUCAUCGGCGCAGGCUUCUUUGACACCUCAGCAGUAGCAAGUUCCAUAAAGAAGGAAGAAGAUGGAUAUUGCCAUAUGGUGUGUAAUCCACAGAAAACCCAGGCAACCACACUUUCCUGUCUAUGCAGCAGACCCUGACCCAUACCUGGUGCAGGUGGAGGUGGAGCUUCGUAUUCUUCCUCUUCUACAACGGGGGCUGGCUCCUCCUCCUGAGCGGCGACUUCUUCCGGUUCUUCAUAUACUUUAAAGAUAUCGGUCAAUUGCAUGUCAGUGUGUGAGACAAAAUUAUAAAACGCAGAAAAUACCCAAGGCGAUGGUCUUGAAUCCUUCCCUCGCUGGGAUUUUUAUUAAGAUGACACCCGUCCUGACUUGCUUUCUAAUGCCAUCCACACCCAUCAACGUCCCCAUCUCCUUUCUUAAGGGCAUCGGAGAAGCUUGGCUCAGUACAGAUCAUGGCAACAGUGACCUGUGGCUUGCAUAGCUACUGCUGACUGUCAACUUGAGGUCCAAGCUAAUUUAGAUAAUUAAAAGGAAGACCAUGACCAAGGAAGAGAGAGUGAGAGGAGAGUCAAGGAGGCAGAUGAAGUCCGAGUUAGAAAUGGUCAUAAAUGGAGCUGGACGAAGUCAUCACAAACAGAAAAUACAUGUAGACAGCAGAAGACAUUCCCUGCCCUUGAAGAAAGAUAUACCUUCAUCUGGAGGAAGCUCAGGCUUUUUGCGAGAAAUCCGAAGUGUUUUCUUUUCAACCGUGGCUUCUUGGAGCUUUAAAGAUAUUGAUCAUGGAAGAUUAUCACAAUGAAUCUCACAAAUGUCAUAGACUAAAUAAAUAUCCACAAGGCACAAAGACUUGCCAUGUAAGAAAUGGAACUAGACAACAUAUUCAGCAACAACAGAGAACAGCGGACACGGCCGUGAGUCAAGGUCGACACAACGACAGGACAGAGGGUUGAAAUCUGAUCAGUGAAUGGAAGAGAGGAAAGAAUACAGAGACAUUAACCUUAUAACCAGGAGCUCAAUUAAUUAGAGUUAUAUGAAAUAGCAACGGAAAACUUUAUUUAAAUAUCACAUCAUGAAAAAGAACUGUGAAAAGGUGAGUGAAUCAAUAAUUCAAUAUUUAUGGUGAAACACAAGUUAUUUUGAAAUUAUUGAUUAUGGAAAUGCUUAAAAUAAUCGAUCGAUGAAACUAGCAUUAAAAAAAAACUUUGUAAAAGCAAGUCUCUCAGACUUGGACACGUAGUAUUUUAGUCAUUUAAAAGCUUCUAGAGGAAUCUCAUUCUGUCUCUUACCAUUAUUCUGAGACAAAUCCCAUCACUGAAUUCCACUUCAACAUGAUUGACUAGCUCGUCCCCCACAGACAAGCCAUGCCAGCUGGUCCACAGCUCCUGACGAACCCUUUGUGAAUAAGAAGCCCUCUUCACAGUUCUAACAAGACUUACUUUUUC
Rattus norvegicus (Norway rat) is the source of this 4521-nucleotide non-coding RNA. The record is from RefSeq and is a predicted model, not a curated record. NCBI's taxonomy places the organism in Eukaryota, Metazoa, Chordata, Mammalia, Rodentia, Muridae.